GACGAACGCUGGCGGCGUGCUUAACACAUGCAAGUCGAACGGAAAGGCCCCUUUGGGGGUACUCGAGUGGCGAACGGGUGAGUAACACGUGAGUAACCUGCCCUUGACUUCGGGAUAACUUCAGGAAACUGGGGCUAAUACCGGAUAGGAAUCCUUGCUGCAUGGUGGGGGUUGGAAAGCUUCGGCGGUUUUGGAUGGACUCACGGCUUAUCAGCUUGUUGGUGGGGUAGUGGCUUACCAAGGCUUUGACGGGUAGCCGGCCUGAGAGGGCGACCGGCCACAUUGGGACUGAGAUACGGCCCAGACUCCUACGGGAGGCAGCAGUGGGGAAUAUUGCACAAUGGGCGGAAGCCUGAUGCAGCAACGCCGCGUGCGGGAUGACGGCCUUCGGGUUGGAAACCGCUUUCAGCAGGGGCGAAGCUUGUGGUGACGGUACCUGCAGAAGAAGCACCGGCUAACUACGUG
This 465-nucleotide ribosomal RNA is filed under the name uncultured bacterium. RNAcentral's name for it is "partial 16S ribosomal RNA". It matches the Rfam family "Bacterial small subunit ribosomal RNA", at positions 28 to 507 of the family's 1533-position model. The record is from RNAcentral.